RNAcentral lists this ribosomal RNA (406 nucleotides) under uncultured bacterium. RNAcentral describes it as "partial 16S ribosomal RNA". It matches the Rfam family "Bacterial small subunit ribosomal RNA", at positions 28 to 526 of the family's 1533-position model. The record is from RNAcentral.
GACGAACGCUGGCGGCGUGCUUAACACAUGCAAGUCGAACGAGUGGCGAACGGGUGAGUAACACGUGGGAACCUACCCAUCAGAGGGGGAUAACACUUGGAAACAGGUGCUAAUACCGCAUAGUGAUGGAUGAACCCGCGGUGCAUUGGCUAGUUGGUGGGGUAACGGCGUCCCUAGGCGACGAUCCCUAGCUGGUCUGAGAGGAGGAUCAGCCCCACUGGGACUGGACCACGGCCCAGGCUCCUACGGGAGGCAGCAGUGGGGAAUAUUGCACAAUGGGCGCAAGCCUGAUGCAGCCAUGCCGCGUGUAUGAAGAAGGCCUUAGGGUUGUAAAGUACUUUCAGCGGGGAGGCGUUACCCGCAGAAGAAGCACCGGCUAACUCCGUGCCAGCAGCCGCGGUAAUUC